UCGUGGGUUUAAUGGGGCUUCCUGCAUUUUAUCAGGCAGCGCUCUCCAGCCAUCCUCCUGGCCCCUGCCAAAUGUCCGCGUGCAACAUCAGGGGUGUAAGGGUACUCCUUAAACCACCAGAGCUCUCAGCCAUCGACACGAGUCUUCAUUCAUGGGCAGUACGCUGGCUUCAGUAACGGCCCAGGAUCCUUGGGAAUUUGCCUGACGGAAUCUUGGCUCGUGCUCUGGAACAGUCCAGUGCGGCCGGUCCUGCCAUCUGCUUUGGAGAGAGUCUCCUCUCACUUUAAAGGGCCAAUUCCCUUAGCUUGGAGCUUCGAGAUAGAGACAGCCAGCGAGAGAGGGAACACAAGCAGGCGGAGUGGGAGAGGAAGAAG
Long non-coding RNA from Ailuropoda melanoleuca (giant panda), 374 nucleotides. RefSeq lists it as uncharacterized. The record is from RefSeq and is a predicted model, not a curated record. The transcript is spliced from 3 exons. NCBI's taxonomy places the organism in Eukaryota, Metazoa, Chordata, Mammalia, Carnivora, Ursidae.